This 1557-nucleotide ribosomal RNA is filed under the name human gut metagenome. RNAcentral describes it as "bacterial LSU rRNA". It matches the Rfam family "Bacterial large subunit ribosomal RNA", at positions 1344 to 2925 of the family's 2925-position model. The record is from RNAcentral.
UCUAAGGUUUCCAGAGUAAAGCUGAUCUGCUCUGGGUAAGUCGGGGCCUAAGCACAGGUCGCAAGACGUAAGCGAUGGAUAACAGGUUUAGAUUCCUGUACCACGCAUUAUCAGAACUGUAGGGACGCAUGUGGAAAGCACGGGCCGGGAAUGGAAAAACCGGUACAAGCGGGGUAGGUGUACAAUAGGCAAAUCCGUUGUAUAAUCCGAAGACGUGAUGUGGAGCGAAAUAAAGUAGCAAAGCGUGUGAGCCAUGUGCCGAGAAAAGCUGCUAUUGUGUAAUGCGUGCCCGUACCGUAAACCGACACAGGUGGAUGAGGAGAGAAUCCUAAGGCCGGCGGAAGAAGCAUUGUUAAGGAAUUCGGCAAAAUGACCCCGUAACUUCGGGAGAAGGGGUGCCUGCGAGAGCAGGCCGCAGAGAAUAGGCUCAAGCAACUGUUUAGCAAAAACACAGGUCUAUGCGAAACCGAAAGGUGAAGUAUAUGGGCUGACGCCUGCCCGGUGCUGGAAGGUUAAGAGGAGAGGUUAGCGCAAGCGAAGCUUUGAAUUUAAGCCCCAGUAAACGGCGGCCGUAACUAUAACGGUCCUAAGGUAGCGAAAUUCCUUGUCGGGUAAGUUCCGACCCGCACGAAAGGCGUAAUGAUUUGAGCGCUGUCUCGACAAUGCAUCCGGUGAAAUUGAAGUACCAGUGAAGAUGCUGGUUACCCGCGCCAGGACGGAAAGACCCCAUGGAGCUUUACUCCAGUUUGAUACUGGGAUUCGGUACUGCAUGUACAGGAUAGGUGGGAGACGGAGAAGGAUGGACGCCAGUCUGUCCGGAGUCGCUGUUGGGAUACCACCCCUGUAGUACUGGGUUUCUAACCAGUUGCCAUGAACUGGCAAUGGGACAAUGUCAGGCGGGGAGUUUGACUGGGGCGGUCGCCUCCGAAAGGGUAUCGGAGGCGCUCAAAGGUUCCCUCAGAAUGGUCGGAAACCAUUCGAAGAGUGCAAAGGCAGAAGGGAGCUUGACUGCGACACCGACGGGUGGAGCAGGUACGAAAGUAGGACUUAGUGAUCCGGUGGUAUAAAGUGGGAUUGCCAUCGCUCAACGGAUAAAAGCUACCCUGGGGAUAACAGGCUUAUCACUCCCAAGAGUUCACAUCGACGGAGUGGUUUGGCACCUCGAUGUCGGCUCAUCGCAUCCUGGGGCUGUAGUAGGUCCCAAGGGUUGGGCUGUUCGCCCAUUAAAGCGGUACGCGAGCUGGGUUCAGAACGUCGUGAGACAGUUCGGUCCCUAUCCGGCGCGGGCGGAGGAUAUUUGAGAGGAGCUGUCCUUAGUACGAGAGGACCGGGAUGGACGGACCGCUGGUGUAUCUGUUGUACUGCCAAGUGCAUAGCAGAGUAGCCAAGUCUGGAAGGGAUAAACGCUGAAGGCAUCUAAGCGUGAAGCCCCCCUCAAGAUGAGAUAUCCCUCCUUCGGGAGUAAGACCCCUUGAAGACUACAAGGUAGAUAGGGCAGAGGUGGAAGCAUGGCAACAUGUGGAGCUGACUGUUACUAAUAGGUCGAGGGCUUAAUCU